Molecule: long non-coding RNA, 805 nt
Organism: Oncorhynchus keta (chum salmon)
Lineage: Eukaryota; Metazoa; Chordata; Actinopteri; Salmoniformes; Salmonidae
Exons: 4
Source: RefSeq, a predicted model, not a curated record
UUACAGGGUCAGUCAUAGUAGUAUGAUAGGUGUUGUUUUACAGGGUCAGUCAUAGUAGUAUGAUAGGUGUUGUUUUACAGGGUCAGUCAUAGUAGUAUGAUAGGUGUUGUUUUACAGGGUCAGUCAUAGUAGUAUGAUAGGUGUUGUUUUACAGGGUCAGUCAUAGUAGUGUGAUAGGUGUUGUUUUACAGGGUCAGUCAUAGUAGCAUGAUAGGUGUUGUUUUACAGGGUCAUAGUAGUAUGAUAGGUGUUGUUUUACAGGGUCAGUCAUAGUAGUAUGAUAGGUGUUGUUGUACAGGGUCAGUCAUAGUAGUAUGAUAGGUGUUGUUUUACAGGGUCAGUCAUAGUAGUACGAUAGGUGUUGUUGUACAGGGUCAGUCAUAGUAGUAUGAUAGGUGUUGUUUACAGGGUCAGUCAUAGUAGUAUGAUAGGUGUUGUUUACAGGGUCAGUCAUAGUAGUAUGAUAGGUGUUGUUUACAGGGUCAGUCAUAGUAGUAUGAUAGGUGUUGUUUUACAGGGUCAGUCAUAGUAGUAUGAUAGGUGUUGUUUUACAGGGUCAGUCAUAGUAGUAUGAUAGGUGUUGUUUUACAGGGUCAGUCAUAGUAGUGUGAUAGGUGUUGUUUUACAGGGUCAGUCAUAGUAGUAUGAUAGGUGUUGUUUUACAGGGUCAGUCCCAGUAGUAUGAUAGGUGUUGUUUUACAGGGUCAGUCAUAGUAGUAUGAUAGGUGUUGUUUUACAGGGUCAGCCAUAGUAGUAUGAUAGGUGUUGUUUUACAGGGUCAGUCAUAGUAGUGUGAUAGGUGUUG